This 253-nucleotide ribosomal RNA is filed under the name uncultured bacterium. Its description in RNAcentral is "partial 16S ribosomal RNA". It matches the Rfam family "Bacterial small subunit ribosomal RNA", at positions 524 to 776 of the family's 1533-position model. The record is from RNAcentral.
UACGUAGGGACCGAGCGUUGUCCGGAAUCAUUGGGCGUAAAGAGCGUGUAGGCGGCCACUUAAGUCCUGCGUGAAAUCUUGCGGCUCAACCGCAAGCGGUCGUGGGAAACUGGGUGGCUAGAGUGCGGGAGAGGAGAGUGGAAUUCCUGGUGUAGCGGUGAAAUGCGUAGAUAUCAGGAGGAACACCGGUGGCGAAGGCGGCUCUCUGGACCACAACUGACGCUGAGGCGCGAAAGCUAGGGGAGCAAACAGG